RNAcentral lists this ribosomal RNA (654 nucleotides) under uncultured bacterium. RNAcentral's name for it is "SSU rRNA". It matches the Rfam family "Bacterial small subunit ribosomal RNA", at positions 245 to 915 of the family's 1533-position model. The record is from RNAcentral.
CUAGUUGGUGGGGUAAGAGCCUACCAAGGCGACGAUCGGUAGCUGGUCUGAGAGGACGAUCAGCCACACUGGGAUUGAGAACGGCCCAGACUCCUACGGGGGGCAGCAGUGAGGAAUUUUCCGCAAUGGUCGAAAGACUGACGGAGCAACGCCGCGUGCAGGAGGACGCUUUUCGGAGUGUAAACUGCUUUUCUGUGGGAAGAGAGUGGACGGUACCACAGGAAGAAGCCCCGGCUAACUACGUGCCAGCAGCCGCGGUAAUACGUAGGGGGCGAGCGUUGUCCGGAGUUACUGGGCGUAAAGGGCAUGCAGGCGGUCGGACGCGUUUUGUGUGACAGCGGGUGGCUUAACUACCCGAGUAUGCGAAAGACGGUUUGACUUGAGGGCUCGAGAGGGACACGGAAUUCCGGGUGGAGUGGUGAAAUGCGUAGAGAUCCGGAGGAACACCGAAGGCGAAGGCAGUGUCCUGGCGAGUGACUGACGCUGAGGUGCGAAAGCUAGGGGAGCGAACGGGAUUAGAUACCCCGGUAGUCCUAGCCGUAAACGAUGACCACCAGGUGUGGGAGGUAUCGACCCCUUCCGUGCCGGAGUAAACACACUAAGUGGUCCGCCUGGGGAGUACGGUCGCAAGAUUAAAACUCAAAGGAAUUGACG